RNA transcript from Homo sapiens (human), 2155 nucleotides. It is a transcript of the gene named steroid 5 alpha-reductase 1 pseudogene 1, with no coding region annotated. The record is from RefSeq and is marked provisional. Lineage: Eukaryota; Metazoa; Chordata; Mammalia; Primates; Hominidae. The transcript has a single exon.
CCCUCCCGCCCCCGCCCUAUAUGUUGCCUGCCUCGGCCUCUGGGGCAUGGAGCACGCGGCCCAGCCCUGGCGAUGGCGACGGCGACGGCGACGGCGGUGGUGGAGGAGCGCCUGCUGGCUGCGUUCGCCUACCUUCAGUGCGCCGUGGGCUGCGCGGUCUUCGCUCGGAAUCGUCAGACGAACUCAGUGUACAGCCGCCACGCGCCACCCAGCCGCAGGCUCCGAGUGCCGGCGCGGGCCACCCGGGUGGUGCAGAAGCUGCCCUCACUGGCCCUGCCGCUCUACCAGUACACCAGUGAGUCCACCCCGCGCCUCCGCAGCGCGCCCAGCUGCAUCCUCCUGGCCAUGUUCCUCGUCCACUACUGGCAUCGGUGCUUAAUUUACCCAUUUCUGAUGCGAGGAGGAAAGCCUGUGCCACUGUUGGCGUGCACAAUGGCGAUUAUGUUCUGUACCUGUAAUGGCUAUUUGCAAAGCAGAUACUUGAGCCAUUGUGCAGUGUAUGCUGAUGACUGAGUAAAAGAUCCCCGUUUUCUAAUAAAUUUUGGCUUGUGGUUAACGGGCAUGUUGAUAAACAUCCAUUCAGAUCAUAUCCUAAGGAAUCUCAGAAAAGCAGGAGAUACUGGAUACAAAAUACCAAGGGGAGGCUUAUUUGAAUACAUAACUGCAGGCAACUAUUUUGGAGAAAUCAUGGAGUGGCGUGGCUAUGCCCUGGCCAGCUGGUCUGUCCAAGGCGCGACUUUUGCUUUCUUCACAUUUUGUUUUUUAUCUGGUAGAGCAAAAGAGCAUCAUGAGCGGUACCUCCGGAAAUUUGAAGAGUAUCCAAAGUUCAGAAAAAUUAUAAUUCCAUUUUUGUUUUAAGUGCAUUUUCAACGAAUUACCUUCAACUUGAAGCUUUCCAAUGGUAUUUUUCAAUGGACUUUGUAAAUAAGUUAUAUCUUUGUAAUUUUCCUGCUACUUCAUCAUUUUCAAGAUGUCCUCUAGGAAUUUUUUUUCUAGUAAUUUUGCAAGCUACCUAAUAAGUACCUAAAUAAACUGAAACGGAGGUUGAGGUAUCCUACUGUGUAACAGGUCAGAAUUUCAAACUCCGGGUAAUAACUGCUGACAUUUUUUCUAAUUUCAAAUUUACCUCUUUUGGCUAUGUCUUGCCAAGGGUGUACAAGACUAGAAUUUGCAACUGUCUGAUGGCAUUUUCAGUCAAACUCCAGGUAAUAACUGCUGACAUUUUUUCUAAUUUCGAAUUUACCUCUUUUGGCUAUGUCUUGCCAAGUGUGUAUAAGACUAGACUUUACGACUAUCUUUGAUGGCAUUUUCAGAACAAUAAAUGUCACAAUCCCUUCUAUAGCCCCCUACGGUGAUCCCUUCAAGGUCAACGGCAGUGUUGCUUCCCUUUCCCUGUAGGGCUGGGAUCUGUCUUGGAGUCCUCUCUCGGAGGCCACAGAGGCCGGGGGUAGCCAUUGUGAAGUCAUGGCCUGGGGGAAAGUUGCCAAACUUCGUGUCAGGUGCUGUGUGUAAGUGGAGAACUUGGGGAUAGAGGAGGAAGCUCCUUGUGGCCCUUCUAAGGCGGGGCAAAGGCAUCUGGACUUGUUCCAGCCCAGCCCACCGGGUGACAUCACCGGGCAGGGAGGGGUGCUGGUGGUGGUUCAUAGGGAGUAAGCUGCUCUGCCUGUGUGAGUGGCUCCUGGGCCCUAAACAAGCACCUUUAGGCCAUGGGUCACUCACCAUGAGCCAUCAAUAUGCUCUGGUCUGACAUGGUUUCUCUCUGUCUUCUAGUCUAGACCUAGUCUUUUGUUCUGUUCCCCAGGUAUGGAUAUACUAGAGAUUGUUGUCUGUGAAAUUUCUCCUUUGUAGAGUUUGAGUUUUCCCUUGUAGUGUAAAGAAUGAUCACCUUCUGUAACGAUAGCAAGACCACUUUUUAAGAUUUAUCCUCUUUGUUCUUUGUUGAUUGAAACAUAAUAAUUACAUUGUUAAAAUUCUCUACAGCCUUCUUUUUCUUCCAUAGCUAAUCUUCCAAUAGUUUUUGCUUUCUGUUUCGCUGUUGUUGCUUUGCAAAGCUUUCCCCUCAUAGCCUGUAUCUGUUAUCAAUAUAAAAUAAUCUUCCUGUUGAAUGCUUCAUGACUUGAAUUCUACUUUGAUAAAAACAUUGCCAUACUGCUUU